This 253-nucleotide ribosomal RNA is filed under the name uncultured bacterium. Its description in RNAcentral is "partial 16S ribosomal RNA". It matches the Rfam family "Bacterial small subunit ribosomal RNA", at positions 524 to 776 of the family's 1533-position model. The record is from RNAcentral.
UACAGAGGUGGCUAGCGUUGUUCGGAAUUACUGGGCGUAAAGGGAGCGCAGGCGGCUAGACAAGUCUGGAGUGCAAGCCCGGGGCUCAACCCCGGAAUUGCUUUGGAUACUGUUUGGCUUGAGUACGUCAGAGGUGAGCGGAAUUCCAGGUGUAGCGGUGAAAUGCGUAGAUAUCUGGAGGAACAUCCGUGGCGAAAGCGGCUCACUGGGACGAAACUGACGCUGAGGCUCGAAAGCGUGGGGAGCGAACGGG